RNAcentral lists this unclassified non-coding RNA (2931 nucleotides) under Agrilus planipennis (emerald ash borer). Its description in RNAcentral is "coiled-coil domain-containing protein 6, transcript variant X1". Lineage: Eukaryota; Metazoa; Arthropoda; Insecta; Coleoptera; Buprestidae. The record is from RNAcentral.
GAAACCGUUGUGCUGUCAAAUCAUAUAUGGCGGCUGUUGGUCGCCUCAGCUUUACAUUUUUUUAUGUAAAUCGACGUUUAUACAGAGCAAGUAUUUUAUUUUCCAAUGAAAAUAGUUGAUAUAUAUUUAGUGAUAAAGUGUUGUUAAUUAGUUAUGUCCCAGAAAACAUCUUGAAUUAGGGGAAGCUAAUUAUUAUAGUUUAAAUUUUAUCGGUGUAAUAGAGAAGAGUUAUAUUUUUUUAAAUCGCCGAAUUAUUAUCCCUGGUACGGUGGUGCUUGUUUCUAUUGCCCUUUCGUCAAAAUAUGGCCGAUUCAGCAAGCGAAUCUGAUUCUAGCAGCAUCGACGGUGGCCCCAUUAUGAUGCCUCCAAGUCCGAUUACUAGAGAACAACUUCAAAAACGGAUUGAAAGUUUACAGCAGCAAAAUCGUGUCUUAAAGGUUGAGCUAGAAACUUAUAAAUUGCGCGUAAAGGCACUCCAAGAAGAAAACAAAAGUCUGCGACAAGCAUCAGUUAUAAUUCAAGCAAAAGCUGAACAAGAGGAGGAAUUUAUUUCAAACACCCUCCUAAAGAAAAUUCAAGCACUUAAAAAGGAAAAGGAGUCUUUAGCACAUCAUUAUGAGCGAGAAGAAGAAUGUCUUACAAAUGAUUUGUCAAGAAAAUUGACACAGUUGAGACAGGAAAAAUGCAAACUUGAGCAGACUUUAGAACAAGAACAGGAGUGCCUUGUUAAUCGUUUAAUGCGCAAAAUAGAAAAAUUAGAAGCUGAAACUUUAGCCAAACAAAGUAAUUUAGAGCAGUUACGAAGGGAAAAGGUAGAGUUAGAAAAUACACUGGAGCAAGAGCAGGAAGCGUUAGUGAACAAGUUGUGGAAACGAAUGGACAAGUUGGAGGCAGAGAAGAGAAUGCUUCAAAUCAAAUUGGAUCAGCCUGUGUCUGAUCCUGCUAGUCCUCGUGACAUUAGUAAUGGAGACACAGCCAGCAAUCUCAGUGCACAUAUUCAGACUUUAAGGAACGAAGUUAAUCGACUUCGUCAAACCCUCGCCAUUAGUCAACAAGAACACGCUCAAAAAAUGCAACGCUUUGCUCAGGAGGAACGUUGUAUUCGUGAGGAAAAUUUGAGGCUUCAAAGAAAACUUCAAUUGGAAGUGGAAAGGCGUGAGGCGCUGUGCCGUCACUUGUCUGAAAGCGAAAGUUCGCUAGAAAUGGAAGAGGAAAGGCAUUACAAUGAGCAGGUUUUGGGUGGUCGUGCUCAUGCCAUCUCGCCGAUUCCACCAAAUCCAUCGCCAAGUCAAAGUCGUCCUUUGAGUCCAGGCUUGUCAUUACAAGCACCGUCACCACGUGAAUCGCUGGUUGGCGUUCCAUCACGAUGUCACACCUGCGGUCAGGCUGUUAUCCAGACUACCAACGCGGGCGGUAGUCCCCCAGCACUAGGGCAACGUCGUACCAGCGAAAGAUUCAUAAAACCGGCCAUCCCAGCUCCACAACCCGCUAGCCCUAUGGACACUACCACUAACAAAGAUUAAAGUGUUUUUCUCUUCAUGUGAAGCAGCUGCGAGGAGCUUCUUUCCUGUUCAGCUCCCAUCCCUGCCGCCCGACACCCGGUCAGUCCCUACUACUUUCGUCGUUAAUGUUAUUGGGGAUAUAUUUUCUUUUUCGAUCUUCGCCGUUAAAUUUCAAAAUUGAAAUGUUUUAUUUUCAACUAAAAGAAAGAAGUUUUUCCAUUAGAUGAAUUUGCAUUUUAGCAUAUGUUUAAAUUCAAGAAAUGAGAUUUUUCAAUUAUUUAUUUGUCUCAAGAUAUAACGAAAAAUUUCAUUUUCAUUUAUAUAAUUUUGGGUGUAUUAUUUGAUGUGCAUGUUUAUUUUUAUUUUUUACUUAUAUGUUAAACAAAAAGGUCGUUAUUUAGAUGUUAGGUAUAUUUAUAUCAUUUUUGUAAUUACGUUUUUUUUAUAACUGAUUCACAGGAUUAGAUAUUUCGUAGAAUUUUUCACCUUUUUUUUUAAUUACUAUUUUAUUGAUUUGCACAUUCAAAUUUUAUCGUUUCUCCUUACGUUGUUUAAAUUUUACACAUUUACAUAUUUAAUUUAAAUAAAUAAUUUUUGUUAAAGUAAUACGGUCGCUAAUUUUGAUAUGUGCAACAGUUAAGUUUCGUUCGAUUAUUAAGCUUUAAACUAAUGCCUAAAGAUCUAAAAAUAAUUCGAAAAUUUUACAAUAGAAAACAGACUUCAAUAGAUCUGUUUCUUUAGUAUGAAACAGCCUCAAAAGUAAGUGAUAUUAGGUGUAACAUUCAGAUUAAAGUUAGAGAUCGGCUGUGUACGUCAUGCUGCGACUUUUCAUGUUGCAUCAUGAUAAGAAUCUGAUAGGAAGGAGUAUUGUUGAAAGUGUAGCUUUCGUCAUGCUGUAAUUUACUGAAUUCUUUAUGUGAAUUAAUGACCAUUUGUUAAAUUUGCAGGAUUUAUUGCAGAUUAUUUGUUUGUUCUAAGAAGUCAUGUUAUCCCAAUUAUUAUAAUAGUAUUUUGUAGACUUAAUUUUUUGUUUGUAUAUUUCGAAUUAAACAACGCUACACGUUUUCAAUUAAAAAUAUUGAACUACAAACCUUAGUUUUUGUUUAUCUACUACUGCGUAGCUUCUACCUAUGACUUUGUUUGUGUGAAUCAAUAAGAAAUACAAUUGUUAUAGCUGUGUAGUUUACAUCACUUUUAACAACCUCCUCUUCGUGUCUAUAAAGUGCAAUUGAAAUCGGUUCAUACAAAAAAAAAUUUAAAGGUCAUUUGUGACUUAACAGCCCAUAAUAAAUAAGCGUAUGGCAUAUGAGUUUAAAUGUAACGCUACCAAAUUUCCUGAAAAAUAUGUUUUGAUAAUCCCAUAUACAUGCUGUGAAAUUUAACUCACGGUCUUAACAUCCGACUGCUUUUUUUAUCAGAGAUUAAAACU